This 1085-nucleotide long non-coding RNA is filed under the name Pogona vitticeps (central bearded dragon). RNAcentral describes it as "lncRNA (ENSPVIG00000001982.1)". Lineage: Eukaryota; Metazoa; Chordata; Lepidosauria; Squamata; Agamidae. The record is from RNAcentral.
AAGACAACCAGAUGACUAUCCAAAAUAACAUCAAAUAACAUUCAGGUUCAAACUUGACGAACACUGCGUGAAACCUGGGAAAGAGAUCAAAACCAGAUGGAUAUUCUUAGAGCAGCAGGAGGUUGCAUGGUAUUUAGAGAAUCACCACGAAGGAUUUGCUUUCCUUUUUUAACACCUUUCUUCCCAAUUUCCAUAGGUCUGGAAAAAAUGAAACCAAGGCACGUGCUACAGGGAACCAUGCAAUCCACAUACUUGAAGGCAAUGAUGUCAAAUUGCCUGAGAUGGAAAUAGCUGUGAUCUUGAAUGGAAUUUACAGCUGUGUUAGAAAAUGAUUCUAUUUUCAUCUAACUCGUUUUAAAGAUCGAGAAAUGUAGAAAUGGCUUGCCUUCUCAUUUCAGUCCUCCACCAAUUACCAAACAUUCAGAAAGCUAGGGAUAUAAAUAUUAGAUUGUCUCUUCCUUGUGCUUGAGAAUGAGAAAUGUAACAAGAACAACAACAGCAACAGGAAGAACAACAACCCCUCACCUGUGAAAUGCAUCUUCAAGAGGCCAUGCUUUUCAGGGAAGGACUGGCAAGUAAGGGCAACUGCUUAACACCUUAUACUCUGGCCAUUGUUUGUGUUCAGAAUCAUGUUGACCUUCCUCUCUCUCUCUCCUAUGGGAAAAGAUACUGUGAUAGCUUCACUUCUUGUGGAGGUCAAAAGAAGUAUGUGAAUGGAGGGAGUGGGUAAGCAGCACUGAACCGGGUGUAGGGAGAGCAACCAAGAAUUGGAAGGGCUUGAAAAGUUAAACAACGCUCCCCACUUUCGUCUUCAACUGAAGAGUCUAGCCUCCCAAAAGAUACAUGCAACUGUGUGUCACAUGUCAUGCAUCUGCCUUUAAGGCUGACACUAAGGGAUGAAAGGUGGAAUUACAGUAAAUACAGAAGUGUUCAAACUUUAAAUGGAACACACCAGACUUGAAGCGGCCUCUCAAAGUGCGAACAUUUUGGCCAUUAAUUAUUAAUUGGAGCUGGCAGCUCAUUUGAAAGUUUGAAUCUAAUGACAAGAUUCCUUAGGAGAUAAAUACCGCUGCAGCCUUGUGUAU